Molecule: transfer RNA, 73 nt
Filed under: Scleropages formosus (Asian bonytongue)
Lineage: Eukaryota; Metazoa; Chordata; Actinopteri; Osteoglossiformes; Osteoglossidae
Rfam family: tRNA
About the family: Transfer RNA (tRNA) molecules are approximately 80 nucleotides in length. Their secondary structure includes four short double-helical elements and three loops (D, anti-codon, and T loops).
Source: Rfam by way of RNAcentral
GCAACAGUUGCAAUAAAGUGGAAUUGAUAUGAUUUGCAAUCAUGGAUCAUAGGUUCAAAUCCCACCUGUUGCU